AGUGAACGCUGGCGGCGUGCUUAACACAUGCAAGUCGAACGAGAACGGAUUAUAGCUUGCUAUAAUUGUCAGCUAAGUGGCGCACGGGUGAGUAAUGUAUAGGUAAUAUGCCUCUUACUAAGGGAUAACAAAUGGAAACGUUUGCUAAUACCUUAUACUCCUUAUUAACAGAAGUUAAUAAGGGAAAGAUUUAUUGGUAAGAGAUUAGCCUGUAUUGUAUCAGUUAGUUAGUGGGGUAAUGGCUUACCAAGACUAUGACACAUAACUGGUUUGAGAGGAUGAUCAGUCACACUGGAACUGAGACACGGUCCAGACUCCUACGGGAGGCAGCAGUGGGGAAUAUUGCACAAUGGACGAAAGUCUGAUGCAGCAACGCCGCGUGGAGGAUGACACAUUUCGGUGCGUAAACUCCUUUUAUAUGAGAAGAUAAUGACAGUAUUAUAUGAAUAAGCACCGGCUAACUCCGUGCCAGCAGCCGCCGUAA
Molecule: ribosomal RNA, 484 nt
Filed under: uncultured bacterium
Lineage: Bacteria
Description: partial 16S ribosomal RNA
Rfam family: Bacterial small subunit ribosomal RNA
Source: RNAcentral